RNAcentral lists this ribosomal RNA (468 nucleotides) under uncultured bacterium. RNAcentral describes it as "partial 16S ribosomal RNA". It matches the Rfam family "Bacterial small subunit ribosomal RNA", at positions 28 to 507 of the family's 1533-position model. The record is from RNAcentral.
GACGAACGCUGGCGGCGUGCUUAACACAUGCAAGUCGAGCGGAAAGGCCCUGCUUUUGUGCGGUGCUCGAGUGGCGAACGGGUGAGUGACACGCGAGUAGCCUGCCCCUGACUUUGGGAUAACAUCAGGAAACAGCGGCUAAUACCGCCUAGGAGCUCUUGCUGCAUGGUGGGGGUUGGAAAGCUUCGGCGGUUGGGGAUGGACUCGCGGCUUAGGCGCUUGUUGGUGGAGUAGUGGCUUACCAAGGCUUUGACGGGUAGCCGGCAUGAGAGGGUGCCCGGCCACAUUGGGACUGGGAUACGGCCCAGAGUCCGACGGGAGGCAGCAUUGGGGAGUAUUGCACAAUGGGCGGAAGACUGAAGCAGCAACGCCGCGGACGGGAUGACGGCUUUAGGGUUGUGAACCGCUGUCGACUGUGCUGAACAGUGAGUGACGGUAAUGGGUAAAGAAGCACCGGCUAACUACGUG